This 469-nucleotide ribosomal RNA is filed under the name uncultured bacterium. Its description in RNAcentral is "bacterial SSU rRNA". It matches the Rfam family "Bacterial small subunit ribosomal RNA", at positions 328 to 793 of the family's 1533-position model. The record is from RNAcentral.
UCAGUCGACGUCCUACGGGGAGGCAGCAGUGAGGAAUAUUGGUCAAUGGAGGGAACUCUGAACCAGCCAUCCCGCGUGUAGGAAGACGGCCUUAUGGGUUGUAAACUACUUUUAUACAGGAAGAAACGUACCCUCGUGAGGGUGCCUGACGGUACUGUAGGAAUAAGCACCGGCUAACUCCGUGCCAGCAGCCGCGGUAAUACGGAGGGUGCGAGCGUUAUCCGGAUUUAUUGGGUUUAAAGGUCCGUAGGCGGAUUAAUAAGUCAGUGGUGAAAUCCCAUCGCUUAACGAUGGAACUGCCAUUGAUACUGUUAGUCUUGAAUGAGGGUGCAGUGGUUGGAAUGUGUAGUGUAGCGGUGAAAUGCAUAGAUAUUACACAGAACACCGAUUGCGAAGGCAGCUUACUAGACUGUAACUGACGCUGAUGCACGAAAGCGUGGGGAUCGAACAGGAUUAGAUACCCUGGUAG